Canis lupus familiaris (dog) is the source of this 1259-nucleotide long non-coding RNA. RefSeq lists it as uncharacterized. NCBI's taxonomy places the organism in Eukaryota, Metazoa, Chordata, Mammalia, Carnivora, Canidae. The record is from RefSeq and is a predicted model, not a curated record. The transcript is spliced from 5 exons.
AGUCGGGGUGGGGGAGGGUCACCCAAGCCAGGCGUAAACCACCACCCCGCUGUCCAUCAAAUAAUUUUCACAAGCCUGCGCAAACCAGAAGAAACUCACCUUGGCCCCGCGGUUGAAAAGCGACACUAUUAAUCAGCGCAAGUCAGGCCUUGUCUGGAGUCCAUACUGUCUUGGUACAUACCUCGCCUCAGCAACACAGCUCCGACUAAUUCCAGGCCUGCUGCGAUUAACCCUCGCGGCACAGACGCUUCCUUUAAACAACAGCGUGAACGAAAAUAUUAACUGAAACUCCGGAUGGGCAUGCACGGCUUACCUUCGAGUUUCAGCGAACAGGCAAUUUGCACCGGAGACCAUUAGGUGGCAACCCGGGCAACGCCGCCACCUGCCGCUCCUCAGAGUCUUCAGAGAGAGGCGCGGCGGGGAGAAGCCGGAAGUGGCCUCACUUCCCGCUGGGCGACCUCUCGCGAGACGUCCCGCGUGGCUCUGGAGCCCACCCGCGCCGCGCAACGGUUCUUCCUGACUCGCUUGCUGGGCGGGCAGCUGCUGGGGGUCGUGCGGUGGUUGUUUCUGGGGCUGGAAUGAGGGAAGGGUUUUCGGUUCACACCUGGGAUGGCCCCAAAUGUUGCAGGUUGACAAAGCAGCCAUUGAAUGCAGCGGUCUUCGUGGAGACCGCCUUAGGCUGGCAAAGAUUCUGGAAGCAAGACUAGAGGGUGUCUAAGCAUUAGAGCAGGAGGGCAGAACCACGCAGUAAAGGGUGCGGUGCACAGCUUUGGCCCCCUGGAGUCUGUUGGCUUGCAGCUCCGGUAUUUCCCCCGGAGUGAGUUCAAAACUGGCCCCUCUGUACGAGAGGGCAAGGAGACACUGAAGGGGUAGACCGUUCCAGAUUGAUUUUAUUUGAGAGAGAGAGAGAAAGCAGGAGAGAGAGGGAGAGAAGACCUUGAAACAAACUCUGGACUGAACACGGGGCCCAACUUGGGGCUCAAUCCCAUCACUGUGAGAUUCUGACCUGAGCUGAAACCAAGAGGAAGAAGAUGGCAAUGAAUAUAAAGAGUUGGACAGCAAGAAAGAGGAAAGAGAAUUAGAAGCAAUACAAAGUUUUCAUGCUUGAGUGACUCAGAAGAUGGCAGUGGAAAUAUGAGAGAUGUUGGAAUAUUUUUCUGCUACAAAAGAAGCAUGGAUGCAACAUUUUUUCUUUUUGAAUAAUUAUUUAUUUAUUCAUAAGGGACACAGAGAGAGAGGCAGAGACACAGGCAGAGGGA